RNAcentral lists this long non-coding RNA (653 nucleotides) under Vulpes vulpes (red fox). Its description in RNAcentral is "lncRNA (ENSVVUG00000002318.1)". The record is from RNAcentral. Lineage: Eukaryota; Metazoa; Chordata; Mammalia; Carnivora; Canidae.
AGUCAGGCUCAUGGGCCAGUCAGGAGACCUCAUUUACCCUUCCCAGUUCUUUGUAGUUCCACCAUCAGCAUCAGCAGAAGUUUCAGGGAACAUGUUUGGAGACAGAAAAACAAUCCUCAAUCGGGAGAUGAAAAAUUCUAUGACCAUGUAACUGAGCACAUCUCCCAUGAACAACAAGGAACACUUAAGAAGCCAUACCCAGCAACUUCCCUCAGUCUGAUAUCACCAAGUCCUUUGGAGCCAUCAGCUGUUGCACAAGGUAUAAGAGACCAGAGAGUAAUUAGUCCACUCCCUGAAGGAACAAUUAGGAAGAAGGAUCCAUGUUUCUCAGGCCUUGAAGGCAGCUCUUGUAAAAAGCACCAAUCAUAUGGAGGGGGAGAUACGCCACAGCUCUUGCCACAAGAGAAAGAAAGAAAGAAAGAAAGAAAGAAAGAAAGAAAGAAAGAAUACAUUCAUUUCAUCUAUGGUCACCCUACAGACAACCUUACUCAAGAAGAAGGCUCUCAGAUAGAGAUGCAGGUCCUCAAGCCUAGUGGCACCUCCUGAUAUCACUGACAUGGAUGGGCUUAACGUUAUUACAGUAUGGUUUCCUCAUAAAGACUUUUCUCUCCACCUAGGUUAUUUUAAAUAAAUUAGUAUUAUUACCAGUGUCA